Molecule: ribosomal RNA, 488 nt
Filed under: uncultured bacterium
Lineage: Bacteria
Description: bacterial SSU rRNA
Rfam family: Bacterial small subunit ribosomal RNA
Source: RNAcentral
CUACGUGCCAGCAGCCGCGGUAAUACGUAGGGGGCGAGCGUUAUCCGGAAUUACUGGGCGUAAAGAGUAUGUAGGUGGUUAAGUAAGCGUAGGGUUUAAGGCGACAGCCCAACUGUCGUAUGCCCCGCGAACUGUUUAACUUGAGUACAGGAGGGGAAGGCGGAAUUCCUAGUGUAGCGGUGAAAUGCGUAGAUAUUAGGAGGAACACCAGUGGCGAAGGCGGCCUUCUGGACUGUAACUGACACUGAGAUACGAAAGCGUGGGUAGCAAACAGGAUUAGAUACCCUGGUAGUCCACGCCGUAAACGAUGAGCACUAGGUGUCGGGCUCGCAAGAGUUCGGUGCCGGAGCAAACGCAUUAAGUGCUCCGCCUGGGGAGUACGCACGCAAGUGUGAAACUCAAAGGAAUUGACGGGGACCCGCACAAGCAGCGGAGCAUGUGGUUUAAUUCGAAGCAACGCGAAGAACCUUACCAGGACUUGACAUCCC